GUUGGGUUAAGUCCCGCAACGAGCGCAACCCAUAUUGAUAGUUACCAUCAUUAAGUUGGGUACGCUAUUAAGACUGCCGCUGACAAGGCGGAGGAAGGUGGGGACGACGUCAAGUCAUCAUGGCCCUUACGACCCGGGCUACACACGUGCUACAAUGGGUAUUACAGAGGGCUGCGAAGGUGCGAGCGGGAGCGAAACUCAAAAAGGUACUAUUUGUCCGGAUUGCCGU
RNAcentral lists this ribosomal RNA (229 nucleotides) under Francisella tularensis subsp. holarctica. Its description in RNAcentral is "partial 16S ribosomal RNA". It matches the Rfam family "Bacterial small subunit ribosomal RNA", at positions 1074 to 1304 of the family's 1533-position model. The record is from RNAcentral. Lineage: Bacteria; Pseudomonadati; Pseudomonadota; Gammaproteobacteria; Thiotrichales; Francisellaceae.